Molecule: ribosomal RNA, 313 nt
Filed under: Salmonella enterica
Lineage: Bacteria; Pseudomonadati; Pseudomonadota; Gammaproteobacteria; Enterobacterales; Enterobacteriaceae
Description: bacterial SSU rRNA
Rfam family: Bacterial small subunit ribosomal RNA
Source: RNAcentral
GAUGGAGGGGGAUAACUACUGGAAACGGUGGCUAAUACCGCAUAACGUCGCAAGACCAAAGAGGGGGACCUUCGGGCCUCUUGCCAUCAGAUGUGCCCAGAUGGGAUUAGCUUGUUGGUGAGGUAACGGCUCACCAAGGCGACGAUCCCUAGCUGGUCUGAGAGGAUGACCAGCCACACUGGAACUGAGACACGGUCCAGACUCCUACGGGAGGCAGCAGUGGGGAAUAUUGCACAAUGGGCGCAAGCCUGAUGCAGCCAUGCCGCGUGUAUGAAGAAGGCCUUCGGGUUGUAAAGUACUUUCAGCGGGGAGG